This 255-nucleotide ribosomal RNA is filed under the name uncultured bacterium. Its description in RNAcentral is "partial 16S ribosomal RNA". It matches the Rfam family "Bacterial small subunit ribosomal RNA", at positions 524 to 777 of the family's 1533-position model. The record is from RNAcentral.
UACAGAGGGGGCAAGCGUUAUUCGGAAUUAUUGGGCGUAAAGGGCGCGUAGGCGGCCUGGCAAGUGGAAGGUGAAAUCCCUCGGCUUAACCGAGGAACUGCCCUCCAAACUGCUUGGCUUGAGACCGGGAGAGGUGAGUGGAAUUCCCAGUGUAGCGGUGAAAUGGCGUAGAUAUUGGGAGGAACACCAGUGGCGAAGGCGGCUCACUGGACCGGUACUGACGCUGAGGCGCGAAAGCGUGGGGAGCAAACGGGG